RNAcentral lists this long non-coding RNA (6244 nucleotides) under Citrus sinensis (sweet orange). RNAcentral's name for it is "long non-coding RNA (CSIN_LNC001910)". The record is from RNAcentral. Lineage: Eukaryota; Viridiplantae; Streptophyta; Magnoliopsida; Sapindales; Rutaceae.
UCGUGUUGAUGAAAAUGAAAAGUUGGAUCUCGACAUUGAUGGAUUGAGGGCAAAGAUCAAAAGUCUCUUUAAUUUUCCUCAUGAUUCUGAUCUUACACUUACUUAUGUUGAUGAAGAUGGUGACAUAGUAACUCUUGUUGAUGAUGAUGAUCUGUGUGAUGUAAUGAGGCAGCGUCUUAAGUUCUUGAGGAUUGAUGUGCACCUGAACAAUGACAAAUUUGGUAAAGCUUAUGCUAGAUCAAGUGGAAGUUCUACUCCCUUGAGAUCCCCGCGAAUCCAGCAUCCAUUACCUGACAUCGACAGUAAGAUUUCUGAAAUUCUGAAAUCUGUGCCAGAGCCACUGCGUGAAGCCAUAUCAAAGCUAUCUACUGACGUUGCUUCAAAGGCUGCAUCCACCAGUCCAAUGAUUGCUGAUCUUGUUGGGUGUUUUUCAAAAAUGGGCCUGUCCCACGUGAAUGUAGUUCCCCAGUCCCAAUAUGGUGCAGAAUCAAGUGGGAAGGCAGAGGCUUCUGAAAAUCUAAUGGCUCAUUCAGUUUCUAAUGAUCCAAAUGUGUCAAAAGAUGAUGGCCUGAGGGAAGUUUUGCCAAAGACAAACCUGAAGGAAGUUUUUCCAAAGACAAGCCUGAAGGAAGUUUUGCCAAAGACAACAGCUGUGGAUUCAACUUCUAAAAGUAGCAAAGAUGUUGAUAUUGGGAUUGCAGCUCGAGGCGUAGGAGUACUUCUCUCUUCUGUUGACCUCAAUCUUCCACCGGUUGAUUCUGCUCCAUCUGGAAGCACCAUGAGCAUUGCUCCUCCUGCAUCCAAUAUUACAGCUGGUGAUGACCGGAUGGAUGCUAAUGAGAAUAAUGUUCAUCAAACUACCAGUGUUCCUAUGUCCACAAGUUCUGUUGAUCCUAUGUGGCCUUCUGAUGUAAAUCAACCUCGUACUACUGAUUUGGGUGGUAAUCUUUCUACCAACUGCCCAUUUAGUGGGAUUCCAGUAGCAAAUGAGUCUGCUGGUAGUUCCCGGCAUCCUCGCCGUGGUCAUUUCAAGCGGGGCUUUAAUCGUGAUGCCUUGAUGGGUAUGUUCCAUAAGGGUGUUCGUUGUGAUGGUUGUGGGGUUCAUCCAAUUACUGGACCUCGAUUCAAAUCAAAAGUGUAAGAAAAUAUCCAAGCUUUGGUUGGUGUUUAAUGGAUGUUUUAUGUCAGAUGCUAACAGUGUAGUUUUUGUUUUCUUCUGCAGGAAAGAUGAUUAUGACCUGUGCAGCAUCUGCUUUGCAGCUAUGGGUAGUGAAGCUGAUUAUAUUAGAAUCGAUAGGCCGGUUCAUUAUCAAUAUCGACAUCCACGACCUUUCAGAGGGUUAUAUGAUCAUGUGUGUAUACUCCUCAACUGUUCAGUACCUUAAUUCUUCCAUUGUGUUUACUGACGUAUUCUUAUUUGUUUUCUCCUCACUUGAAGAGACAGAACUUUUGGCUGGGAACCCCAGGCCCAGAUACACAACAUGUUGGUGCACUAGGAGCUCCACACAUUUUGAGAGAUCGUGGAAUCAAGCCUGGUCGUUCUAGGUUAGACAGUUGCUUUAUUUUGGAUGUUAAUGUAUUGGAUGGGACUAUGAUGGCUCCAUCUACCCCAUUUACAAAGAUAUGGAGGAUGCGCAAUACUGGUAAUUUGGCUUGGCCUAGGGGUUCUCAACUUGUGUGGAUUGGGGGCGAUAAGUUUAGUGAUGGAGUUUCAGUUGAGAUAGAGGUUAGCAAGUUUAAUUCUGUUAUGUUUUGGAAAUGUUUUCAAGUUCAUUUUCAACUUUUGUUAUACUUGACAUCAAUGGAAAGUAAUUCCUGAGUGUUGCAUGGGCAUUUUUCAUACAUUCAAUUCAUUUCAGGUUCCUGCUGAUGGUGUGCCGGUGGAGGGGGAGAUUGACAUUGCAGUUGAUUUUACUGCUCCUGAAUUGCCUGGUCGUUAUAUCUCUUAUUGGAGGAUGUCCUCACCAUCAGGGGUCAAAUUUGGGCAACGUGUAUGGGUUCUUAUACAGGUAUUGCGUGCACUUGAAAGCAUUGCCAUUUCUUUUGAAGCAUAUGCUUUUGAUAAUUUGGUUGCUUCUUAUAAAAUUCCUUCCUGAUUAUUCCUUGUAGGUUGAUCCCUCUCUGAAGGACAGCAUUAGUGAUGGCUUUGGAGGCUUGAACUUGAAUGUUCCCCCUGAGAGCACUAGGUCUAAUGGUGCUGAAAUUAUUGAUGUGAAUGUUCGGCCUAUUGUGGAUGGAGGCUUUCAGGAGCCUAGCAACUCCUUCAGUGUGAAGGAGCCAGCAAAGCCAGGGGUUGAACAGCCUAAAAAGGAGCAGGAGAUGAAUGUUCCUCUAAAUGAUAGCUUGCUGGUUGGGCACGGUGGUGCUUCAGCUUCUGCUCCUCCACCUCCACUCCCCCGUUCAGAGGCUACUUCAACAGUGUUGUAUCCCAUUAUUGACCUGGCUGAAUCAGAAGCCGAUGAGACAUCUCAUCCAGCAGUCUCUUUUACCGGUUUACCAACAUCAUCUGAAGAGAUCCGUAGUGAUAAAGAUGCUGUUGAGCAGACCCUCCUCAGGGAACUCGAGGAGAUGGGUUUCAAGCAGGUUGAUUUGAACAAGGAGAUAUUGAGGAUGAAUGAGUAUGACUUGGAGCAGUCUGUGGAUGAUCUCUGUGGUGUGUCUGAGUGGGAUCCAAUCCUCGAGGAGUUGCAGGAGAUGGUGAGUUCCUAUGUCAAAACUGUGAUGAAGUGUAGGAAUGUUUUGUUUUCUCUCUGUUUUAUCUUUCCUUUCCUCCCUCUGUGUAUAUGGAUUUCCAGUAAGGAGAGACCUACAGAUAUUGAAUCCCCAUUUGGUUUGUGUUACAGGGUUUCCAUGACGAAGAAACUAACAAGAGGCUGCUGAAGAAGAACAAUGGGAGUAUCAAGGGUGUGGUGAUGGAUCUUCUUACCGGGGAGAAAGCUUAGUUGAUCCCAGUAGUAUAUAUAUUUAUGAAUAAAAUGUUGAGACUAAAACAUGAUAUGGAUGAUUACAGUUUAGAUGUCCAACAUCUUCUUUGGUGGUAUUUGGAAUCGGAUCAUUGUUAAGUAAAUAUGGAAUUAUUAAAUAGUAUUGUAUAGUUCGACUUUAUCCAUUCCUUGGUUUUUCCUAUGCGCAACUUUUAUAUGUAUUCUGUUCUGCUGCUUUACUGUCUGGUUCUGAUUUAGGUCUUAAAAGAAGACUCUUGGGGUUUGGGCAUGAUUAAGAUGCGGCUGUUUACAACUCCCAUGUCACAAAACUAUUAUAUAUGUGUGGCUGUACUUGCAGAAAUGGGACACUUUGGGUUCAAAGAUCAAUUGGGUUUUGUUGGUCUUGCGAUGUUUAGCAAAUUGCUAGACGUUACUCAACUCAACAGGAGAUGCAACCAUGCAAAAUGUUGACGUGAGUGGUGAAAGGAAAGUAGUUGUUGAUCCAUUUUUACAUGAAGAGUUGUUCAUAGACCUUAUUUGCAAUGAGCAUUGCACAAUGUAAUACGAGUAGCUAGCUAAGAACGAGACAUCAACUCGUAAACUGAAGCUUCAAUUGUUUGAGAUUGUUAUUAGUGCGAAAGCUUCCAAAAAUUUAGGUGUGAAAACUGAAUCAUGUCAUUUAAGAUGUAACUAACGAUGACAGCACGAAGUGUUUUAUAGAAGUGGAGUGAAACACACGAGAUGGUGAAAUUAUAGGUACUGCCACUAGUUCAGCUGUUCAGGCAUUUCUUUUUCUUAGUGAGUGGGUUGUUUGUCCACAUGUUUGACAAGAUCAGUUUCCAUGUGAUUAGGAUUAGUUUAUGGCACCCACAGUCUUUAUUACAAUAUUCACAAAUAUCUCUUUCUUGUUUCUCCUCGUCUCUGUCUUCCCCCAAUUCUUUAUUGAACACUGACGCAAAUGUCUUCCAAGAUUCUGUAUAUAGAUCAAGAGUGAAGCUUUGUGCUCCCUAUUAUUAAAUAAAGCCUAAAUCCAAUCUCUCCAUUCCAUUAAGCUCCUUAAUGGGUGGUCACAGAAUUUUAAUUUAAAUAAUAAUAAUAAUCAUCAUCAUAAUUGAUCUUCACUUGAAAGUUUGUUGAUUGGCUCUCUUCUCUGCUCCCCUUUAUGGGGAUUCUUCUCUUUUCCCCAUGAAUUUUUUAUAAAUUUCAUUUUUGGGCUUUGGGUCUUUUUCCCUUUGCUCUAUUUGGUGUUUGGUGUCACUCUUUCUCUGUCCCUAUGCUACUACAUCUACAUGUGGGGUUCCUCACUUUUGCCUCCUCAGCGACAUGUAAGCCAUCGGUCUGUGAGUUUUGAUCUCUGGGUCUGAUUCUUGAGUCUUGAGAUGUGGUUAUCAACACAGCAGUAUACAAAGCAUGUCCUGUUUACUUCUCUGUUUCUUGUCAGCUUAUCCAUACACUCUUUGAAAUGAGCUUUUCAAUGCUUUCCUUUUUUGGGCUCUGUUGUGUGAUUUUUUACCAUACAUUGGGUGAUGAGAGCUAGGAUUUCUUGGUAAAUAUUAGAUAGAUAUAUGUAAGCACAUGUUGAAUUCUUUCUUGCUUUGGAACCAUGGAAUCUAGGAGUAGGUUUUACUUGGCCGAUGAGCUCAAGUUGGAUGCUAAAUGGCUAAUUGAUCCCAAGCAUCUUUUUGUUGGACCAAGGAUUGGAGAGGGAGCCCAUGCCAAAGUAUACGAGGGAAAGUAAGUCUGCAGCCAAUUCUCAGAUUAGUUCUUGUUCUUAACAUUAUGUUGUCCGAAAAGCGAUCAAGUAGAAAGCUUACAUACUUCUUAUUUCUUGGCAUUGCCACCUCUAUGCUGUGUUGUAUUUCUCCUUGUACGAGGAAAAUGCUUUUGACAUUUGUAAAAUUUUGCUCCCUUUUGAACAAAAUCCAGAAAUUUAUGUCAUUUUUGUGUAUUUUUAAUCAAUAAUCUGGGUUUUUUGUGGAAACUUAAUAUGCUUUUUAUGUGCCUAAAGACUAAUAAAAGUCCCAUCAUUUUGGAAAUUGUAAAACUUCCACUGGGUUACAAUCUGGCUGUUGGUAAUGAAGCCGGCUUAGGCUCGUAAACAGAUUUGAGCCUCUUGAUUGACACUGUGGUGUCUGGUAGUGUUGUAGGUAUCUCACUAUGUUUGUUCUAUUCCCUUCAGAUACAAAAACCAGACUGUUGCUAUUAAAAUUGUUCAUAAAGGAGAAACUCCAGAGGAGAUCGCCAAGAAAGAAUCACGGUUUGCAAGAGAAGUUGCAAUGUUAUCUAGAGUUCAACAUAGAAAUUUAGUAAAGGUUGGAUUUGAAUCCACGGUUUUGAGGAUAGUCAUUUUUCUUAUGUCGUUGUAGGAGUGGCAAAAAUUCCAUUUAAUGAUAAUGGUUAUAUUGUUGUGUCUAAGUAUGAUGUUGUAUUUCUAUGCGUGAACAGUUUAUUGGUGCCUGUAAAGAGCCUGUAAUGGUGAUAGUUACUGAGCUUUUAUCAGGAGGUACACUGCGUAAAUACUUGCUGAACAUGCGGCCAAGGUGCUUAGACGUUUGUGUUGCAAUUGGUUUUGCACUUGAUAUUGCUCGUGCAAUGGAAUGCCUUCAUUCUCAUGGAAUCAUACAUCGUGAUCUGAAACCUGGUAAUCUCUCUUCCAUUUCACUUUUUUACUUUUAAGGCAUAGAUAAGGAUUAAAAUAUUGGUGGAUGACUUAUAUUAUACGAGGUGCACGGUCUUUGCUACAUGGAGAUCUUUAGUUGUGGGAAUCUUGUACCAAUCCCACAUGUCUCAUCUUUGGAGCUACGGGUUUGAGAUAUUCAUAUUCUUAGUAUAAUAUCAUAUGUAAUAGAUUAUCUCCAUUAUUACAAGCAUAUGUGCUGGCAGUUGACUUUAUGGAGUUAAGUUUUCAAAGUAAUGUACUUCAAGUCACAUUAAAUUACUUGCACAUCUCUGUUCCAACUAGCAGUUCACAUAAGCAUUUGUAAGACUUCUCAAGUGGUUAUUGGGUAUUGAAAAAAUUAACAGAUUUCAUUAGUUAGUUAUUGGUUCAAUCAGCUGACCGUUCAUUCAAGCAUGAAAUCAUUAGUUAUGAUCACUUGUGAUGUCUUAUAGGAGUAGAUGUGAAUAAUAAGUUCAGUGGAAACUAAUGAUUAGGAGAAGAUGUGAGAUGCACAUUCAGAUAAUAGAGAAGCUCUCUCUUAGAUGAAUGAAAUCAUAGCGUUACUGUUUGUAUCUAUUGAGCAGACAAAAUUUUAAUGGGGGAGUAGAUCAGUUACUCAGAAGGUAAAAUCAUUUAAAUAGACAUUAAUGUUGAACUGAAA